Molecule: ribosomal RNA, 465 nt
Filed under: uncultured Klebsiella sp.
Lineage: Bacteria; Pseudomonadati; Pseudomonadota; Gammaproteobacteria; Enterobacterales; Enterobacteriaceae
Description: bacterial SSU rRNA
Rfam family: Bacterial small subunit ribosomal RNA
Source: RNAcentral
CCUACGGGGGGCUGCAGUGGGGAAUAUUGCACAAUGGGCGCAAGCCUGAUGCAGCCAUGCCGCGUGUGUGAAGAAGGCCUUCGGGUUGUAAAGCACUUUCAGCGGGGAGGAAGGCGGUGAGGUUAAUAACCUCAUCGAUUGACGUUACCCGCAGAAGAAGCACCGGCUAACUCCGUGCCAGCAGCCGCGGUAACACGGAGGGUGCAAGCGUUAAUCGGAAUUACUGGGCGUAAAGCGCACGCAGGCGGUCUGUCAAGUCGGAUGUGAAAUCCCCGGGCUCAACCUGGGAACUGCAUUCGAAACUGGCAGGCUAGAGUCUUGUAGAGGGGGGUAGAAUUCCAGGUGUAGCGGUGAAAUGCGUAGAGAUCUGGAGGAAUACCGGUGGCGAAGGCGGCCCCCUGGACAAAGACUGACGCUCAGGUGCGAAAGCGUGGGGAGCAAACAGGAUUAGAUACCCCUGUAGUC